CCACCACUGAAGAGUCCCAAACUAGGACGAAACAGCUGUCCAGUAC
This 46-nucleotide non-coding RNA is filed under the name Trichobilharzia regenti. The record is from RNAcentral. Lineage: Eukaryota; Metazoa; Platyhelminthes; Trematoda; Strigeidida; Schistosomatidae.